RNAcentral lists this ribosomal RNA (460 nucleotides) under uncultured bacterium. Its description in RNAcentral is "partial 16S ribosomal RNA". It matches the Rfam family "Bacterial small subunit ribosomal RNA", at positions 338 to 795 of the family's 1533-position model. The record is from RNAcentral.
CCUACGGGUGGCAGCAGUGAGGAAUAUUGGUCAAUGGACGAGAGUCUGAACCAGCCAAGUCGCGUGAAGGAUGACUGCCCUAUGGGUUGUAAACUUCUUUUAUAUGGGAAUAAAACGUUCCACGUGUGGGAUUUUGUAUGUACCAUAUGAAUAAGGAUCGGCUAACUCCGUGCCAGCAGCCGCGGUAAUACGGAGGAUCCGAGCGUUAUCCGGAUUUAUUGGGUUUAAAGGGAGCGUAGGUGGAUUGUUAAGUCAGUUGUGAAAGUGUGCGGCUCAACCGUAAAAUUGCAGUUGAAACUGGCAGUCUUGAGUACAGAAGAGGUAGGCGGAAUGCGUAGUGUAGCGGUGAAAUGCAUAGAUAUCACGAAGAACUCCGAUUGCGAAGGCAGUUCACUGGACUGCAACUGACACUGAGGCUCGAAAGUGUGGGUAUCAAACAGGAUUAGAUACCCUUGUAGUC